This 348-nucleotide RNase P RNA is filed under the name Coriobacteriia bacterium. Its description in RNAcentral is "RNase P RNA component class A". It matches the Rfam family "Bacterial RNase P class A". From Rfam's summary of the family: Ribonuclease P (RNase P) is a ubiquitous endoribonuclease, found in archaea, bacteria and eukarya as well as chloroplasts and mitochondria. Its best characterised activity is the generation of mature 5'-ends of tRNAs by cleaving the 5'-leader elements of precursor-tRNAs. The record is from RNAcentral. Lineage: Bacteria; Bacillati; Actinomycetota; Coriobacteriia.
GGAGUGGGCUGGAUGGUCGCGCGGACCGUUUCGGUUCGUGAGGAAAGUCCGGACUCCACAGGGCAGGGUGCCUGCUAACGGCAGGGCGGGGCGACCCGACGGAAAGUGCCACAGAAAAGAAGACUCCUCCGCCCCAAGCGGAGGAAAAGCUGAAACGGUGCGGUAAGAGCGCACCAGCGUUACGGCAACGUAGCGGCUUGGCAAACCCCACCUGGAGCAAGGGUAAAUAGAAGCGAUCAAGGUCGGCCCGACCGACGCUUGGGUUAGCCCGCGAGAGGCCAUGGGCGACCGUGGUCCCAGAUAAAUGACCGUUCUCGACAGAAUCCGGCUUACAGGCCCACUCCGCCU